AACGCGAAGAACCUUACCUGGCCUUGACAUGCAUUGUGUCGCCGGUGAAAGCCGGCUAGCGUAGCAAUACGCGCUUUGCACAGGUGCUGCAUGGCUGUCGUCAGCUCGUGCCGUGAGGUGUUGGGUUAAGUCCCGCAACGAGCGCAACCCUUGCCGUGUGUUGGUCGCAAGAUCUCUCACGCGGGACCGCCGGUGACAAGCCGGAGGAAGGUGGGGAUGACGUCAAGUCAGCAUGGCCCUUACGUCCCGGGCUACACACGUGCUACAAUGGAAUGGACAACGAGUCGCGAACCCGCGAGGGUAAGCUAAUCUCACAAACCAUUUCUCAGUUCGGAUUGAAGGCUGCAACUCGCCUUCAUGAAGUCGGAAUCGCUAGUAACCGUAGAUCAGCUACGCUGCGGUGAACUACGUUCCCGGGCCUUGUACACACCGGAGUA
This 437-nucleotide ribosomal RNA is filed under the name uncultured bacterium. RNAcentral's name for it is "bacterial SSU rRNA". It matches the Rfam family "Bacterial small subunit ribosomal RNA", at positions 958 to 1398 of the family's 1533-position model. The record is from RNAcentral.